Octopus bimaculoides (California two-spot octopus) is the source of this 734-nucleotide long non-coding RNA. The record is from RefSeq and is a predicted model, not a curated record. NCBI's taxonomy places the organism in Eukaryota, Metazoa, Mollusca, Cephalopoda, Octopoda, Octopodidae.
GCUGUGUUUGGAGCCUAGUGGAAGUUUACAUGUUAAUGUGGAAUUGCUGAAUGGAUCGUUCUCAGACGUUCCAAUGGGUGUUAUCACUGAGACUGGAGUUCCAGGUAAAAAAAUAUUUUAAUUAUUUUUAAUUCCUAGUAAACAUGAUUUCUUAACUCCUUUUAAAUCCACAGGGACAUAUAUUCCAGGUGUGCUAGGUGUGUGCUGCACAUCCGUCAAAAAUGGCAAAUUCAUUAUAAACAUUAACCUUACUCGUUAAUUUAACCACAAACCAUAAUGGAAAACUUAUGAUGCUAUACCCCUGCUUGAAAUUUGGUGGCAGGUGUCCAGAAAUAACACUGUACACCACACAGCGCAUCGUAUCAUAAUAUGGUACUGGGCAGCAAAUAGUAGGAUAAUGGGAAAAUGGCAAAAAAUUAAUGGUGAAGGAUGUGCGACAGCUUUGACAGCAUGGUCGCAUGUUCAGUUCCAUGGCAAGAAGUUGUACAUUUAAAUUAAUUUAGAAUUCCUAAAGUAAAACUAAUUUUUGUUACAAUAAUUUUUUUCUUACAGUAUCAUCAUAUAACUUUGAUCUGAAUUUGUUUUCAAAACUAAUAAUACACUUUUAGAAGUCAGAAACCAAACUUAGCCCAUUACCUACCAGUGAUCUCAUAUGAGGUCACUUAAAAAUUACAAAUUUCAUAAUUAUCUGUCAAUAUUUACACAUAUCUAACCUUUUUGCUAUAUCUACUAGG